Molecule: ribosomal RNA, 253 nt
Filed under: uncultured bacterium
Lineage: Bacteria
Description: partial 16S ribosomal RNA
Rfam family: Bacterial small subunit ribosomal RNA
Source: RNAcentral
UACGAGGGGGGCAAAUGUUGUUCGGAAUCACUGGGCGUAAAGGGCGCGUAGGCGGCUCGCUAAGUCGGAUGUGAAAACUCUGGGCUCAACCCAGAGCCUGCAUUCGAAACUGACGAGCUCGAGUUCUGGAGGGGAAAGCGGAAUUCCUGGUGUAGCGGUGAAAUGCGUAGAUAUCAGGAGGAACACCGGUGGCGAAGGCGGCUUUCUGGACAGAAACUGACGCUGAUGCGCGAAAGCUAGGGGAGCAAACAGG